GGCCGGGUAGCUCAGUUGGUUAGAGCGCGGGACUCAUAAGCCCGAGGUCGUGGGUUCGAUCCCCACCCCUGCCACCA
Molecule: transfer RNA, 77 nt
Filed under: Candidatus Peregrinibacteria bacterium
Lineage: Bacteria; Candidatus Peregrinibacteriota
Description: tRNA-Met
Rfam family: tRNA
About the family: Transfer RNA (tRNA) molecules are approximately 80 nucleotides in length. Their secondary structure includes four short double-helical elements and three loops (D, anti-codon, and T loops). Further hydrogen bonds mediate the characteristic L-shaped molecular structure. tRNAs have two regions of fundamental functional importance: the anti-codon, which is responsible for specific mRNA codon recognition, and the 3' end, to which the tRNAs corresponding amino acid is attached (by aminoacyl-tRNA synthetases). tRNAs cope with the degeneracy of the genetic code in two manners: having more than one tRNA (with a specific anti-codon) for a particular amino acid; and 'wobble' base-pairing, i.e. permitting non-standard base-pairing at the 3rd anti-codon position.
Source: RNAcentral